This 682-nucleotide long non-coding RNA is filed under the name Acyrthosiphon pisum (pea aphid). RNAcentral describes it as "uncharacterized LOC100573249". The record is from RNAcentral. Lineage: Eukaryota; Metazoa; Arthropoda; Insecta; Hemiptera; Aphididae.
CACUAUUAAAAUAGUAACGAUGAGUAAAUAACGCAAAUAGCCCGUUUGGCCACUCGCCAGUGUGGCGGCCCAUUGUUUUGGACUUUUACACAUACUAUUAUGUCAUGGACUAUACAAUAAUGUACACUAUAUUCAGCGUAUAUAAACAGUUACAUUGAUAAAUAAUGGCAAUAAAAGGCGUGGGAACUCGAAAUCGGAGUAGAAUGCAAAUGGGAAAAAAUGUUGAAGAAGGGCCAAUUUCAUGGUUGUAGCUGGCAAAGAACAACCUACGCGCAUGGCAAAAGUUGGAUUGUGUAUUGCAACAUUUUCCAAAAAGAACAAAGAGUACCUCAGUGAUAUACGGAUACGGAUGCACAAUAAUUAUGAUGAUCAGAAAAAGAAAUACGAAAGACAUAAUAUUAUUUUCGAGAUCACGUGUGGUGUUCCGAUAUAGGUAUAGCCUUGGAGAUAUUGUUUAAAGAAAUUUUCAUAGGUUCAUAUGUAUACCAUAAUACGUGAUGUCCAUUGUGUAUCUACCGGAAAUAUAGAACCAAACAGAGUCAAAAUAACCGGGAACCCAACACAAGUGGAAAUGGAAUUUCGAUUUCGAUCUUCAGCUCUCCCUUUCCCGAACUGUGCUGCACACGACUUUAUCAAUGUCACUGCAUAAAACAAUCACAUAAAAUAUAAAUUAAUAUACGUA